AUUGAACGCUGGCGGCAUGCUUUACACAUGCAAGUCGAACGGCAGCGCGGGCUUCGGCCUGGCGGCGAGUGGCGAACGGGUGAGUAAUACAUCGGAACGUGCCCAGUAGUGGGGGAUAGCUCGGCGAAAGCCGGAUUAAUACCGCAUACGACCUGAGGGUGAAAUCGGGGGAUCUUCGGACCUCGCGCUAUUUGAGCGGCCGAUGGCAGAUUAGCUAGUUGGUGGGGUAAAGGCCUACCAAGGCGACGAUCUGUAGCUGGUCUGAGAGGACGACCAGCCACACUGGGACUGAGACACGGCCCAGACUCCUACGGGAGGCAGCAGUGGGGAAUUUUGGACAAUGGGCGAAAGCCUGAUCCAGCAAUGCCGCGUGUGUGAUGAAGGCCUUCGGGUUGUAAAGCACUUUUGGCGGGAACGAAAAGGACUGUGCCAAUACCACGGUUCGAUGACGGUACCCGCAGAAUAAGCACCGGCUAACUACGUG
RNAcentral lists this ribosomal RNA (484 nucleotides) under uncultured bacterium. RNAcentral's name for it is "partial 16S ribosomal RNA". It matches the Rfam family "Bacterial small subunit ribosomal RNA", at positions 30 to 507 of the family's 1533-position model. The record is from RNAcentral.